ACGGAAGGCAGCAGUGAGGAAUAUUGGUCAAUGGACGGAAGUCUGAACCAGCCAAGUCGCGUGAAGGAAGACGGUUCUAUGGAUUGUAAACUUCUUUUGUCCGAGGGUAAAGUGAGAGAUGCGUCUCUUAUUGCAAGUAUCGGACGAAUAAGCAUCGGCUAACUCCGUGCCAGCAGCCGCGGUAAUACGGAGGAUGCGAGCGUUAUCCGGAUUUAUUGGGUUUAAAGGGUGCGUAGGCGGGCUAUUAAGUCAGCGGUCAAAUCGUGUUGCUCAACAAUACUGAGCCGUUGAAACUGGUGGUCUUGAGUGUAAAUGAGGUAGGCGGAAUGUGACGUGUAGCGGUGAAAUGCUUAGAUAUGUCACAGAACCCCGAUUGCGAAGGCAGCUUACCAAGAUACAACUGACGCUGAGGCACGAAAGCGUGGGUAUCAAACAGGAUUAGAUACCCUGGUA
This 453-nucleotide ribosomal RNA is filed under the name uncultured Porphyromonadaceae bacterium. RNAcentral describes it as "partial 16S ribosomal RNA". It matches the Rfam family "Bacterial small subunit ribosomal RNA", at positions 341 to 792 of the family's 1533-position model. Lineage: Bacteria; Pseudomonadati; Bacteroidota; Bacteroidia; Bacteroidales; Porphyromonadaceae. The record is from RNAcentral.